This 899-nucleotide ribosomal RNA is filed under the name Priestia filamentosa. Its description in RNAcentral is "bacterial SSU rRNA". It matches the Rfam family "Bacterial small subunit ribosomal RNA", at positions 9 to 873 of the family's 1533-position model. The record is from RNAcentral. Lineage: Bacteria; Bacillati; Bacillota; Bacilli; Caryophanales; Bacillaceae.
CUAGAGUUUGAUCCUGGCUCAGGACGAACGCUGGCGGCGUGCCUAAUACAUGCAAGUCGAGCGGAGAUUUGAAAAGCUUGCUUUUCAAAUCUUAGCGGCGGACGGGUGAGUAACACGUGGGCAACCUGCCCUUGAGACGGGGAUAACUCCGGGAAACCGGAGCUAAUACCGGAUAACACAUAUCUUCGCAUGAGGAUAUGUUAGAAGGUGGCUUUUAGCUACCACUCAAGGAUGGGCCCGCGGCGCAUUAGCUAGUUGGUGAGGUAACGGCUCACCAAGGCGACGAUGCGUAGCCGACCUGAGAGGGUGAUCGGCCACACUGGGACUGAGACACGGCCCAGACUCCUACGGGAGGCAGCAGUAGGGAAUCUUCCGCAAUGGACGAAAGUCUGACGGAGCAACGCCGCGUGAGUGAUGAAGGUUUUCGGAUCGUAAAGCUCUGUUGUUAGGGAAGAACAAGUACCUGUUAAAUAAGCAGGUACCUUGACGGUACCUAACCAGAAAGCCACGGCUAACUACGUGCCAGCAGCCGCGGUAAUACGUAGGUGGCAAGCGUUGUCCGGAAUUAUUGGGCGUAAAGCGCGCGCAGGCGGUUCCUUAAGUCUGAUGUGAAAGCCCACGGCUCAACCGUGGAGGGUCAUUGGAAACUGGGGAACUUGAGUGCAGAAGAGGAGAGCGGAAUUCCACGUGUAGCGGUGAAAUGCGUAGAGAUGUGGAGGAACACCAGUGGCGAAGGCGGCUCUCUGGUCUGUAACUGACGCUGAGGCGCGAAAGCGUGGGGAGCGAACAGGAUUAGAUACCCUGGUAGUCCACGCCGUAAACGAUGAGUGCUAAGUGUUAGAGGGUUUCCGCCCUUUAGUGCUGCAGCAAACGCAUAAGCACUCCGCCGGGAGGCCGUG